This 133-nucleotide ribosomal RNA is filed under the name Cronobacter sakazakii 696. Its description in RNAcentral is "Small Subunit Ribosomal RNA; ssuRNA; SSU rRNA". It matches the Rfam family "Bacterial small subunit ribosomal RNA", at positions 520 to 652 of the family's 1533-position model. Lineage: Bacteria; Pseudomonadati; Pseudomonadota; Gammaproteobacteria; Enterobacterales; Enterobacteriaceae. The record is from RNAcentral.
GUAAUACGGAGGGUGCAAGCGUUAAUCGGAAUUACUGGGCGUAAAGCGCACGCAGGCGGUCUGUUAAGUCAGAUGUGAAAUCCCCGGGCUCAACCUGGGAACUGCAUUUGAAACUGGCAGGCUUGAGUCUCGU